Molecule: long non-coding RNA, 770 nt
Organism: Haliotis rubra (blacklip abalone)
Lineage: Eukaryota; Metazoa; Mollusca; Gastropoda; Lepetellida; Haliotidae
Exons: 3
Source: RefSeq, a predicted model, not a curated record
CAAGGCUCAUACCUUGUGUCGUCACUCAACUAUUUCUAAACUGAUGUUAUUGCCAACAAUUGCCAUUUCCGAGAACCAACGGAAAUAGUCGAGGCAAAUUACCCGGUAGUUCUACUUUUGGUUUGACUUUUAUACCCGGAAGUGCCGUCUCAGUGCGAUGGAUACAGAUCAACUCUACAGAGACAAACUGAUCACAGUACUCGACAGUGUCCGAAUCCACAAUAUAACAACGAACUUGAUGAUUUGGAAGAGUUACAAAUGGACUACAGUCUUGUCGUGAGACCGUGAAUAUUUAAAGCACUGUGACUGAGUCUGACAGUGAGGACGAUGAGGUUGAUGACGAAGAUGGGAUCACUGUUGACUUCAGAAGUAUGACGGCUAGCGGUAAAGGGAGACAAUUCACCGUGCGGCGUCUCGGUACAGCAUCCCAUGUGUCAUUGUCCCAGCACAUAGUGAAGAGUUUCAUGGGUCAGGUGACCAGAUGGACCUGGUACUGGUUUGAUAAAGAAUUACAACAGUGGAGGCAGUAUGGGAAUGUGGGAUCAGGAGGUCAAAGACCGGACACUGAUAGUGACUUCAUCGAGCGAGCAUUUGGUCGAGAUAAAAACAGUUUCGUUGACUUCAGAGUUGGAACCAACAUCUUCAGACUUCGAUUUUCCAAGUUUCAACAAAAGAACAGACAAACAGGAACACGAAAACAAGUUCGACGGAGGCCCACCUACAUGAGAUUUUGAUAUGUUUUGUGUGCGUUUGUUGUUAAGCAGUUUGUU